CUACGGGGGGCAGCAGUGGGGAAUAUUGGACAAUGGGCGAAAGCCUGAUCCAGCCAUGCCGCGUGUGUGAAGAAGGCCUUCGGGUUGUAAAGCACUUUCAGUGGGGAAGAAAGCCUUGGGGCUAAUACCCUCGAGGAAGGACAUCACCCCCAGAGGAAGCACCGGCUAACUCCGUGCCAGCAGCCGCGGUAAUACGGAGGGUGCGAGCGUUAAUCGGAAUUACUGGGCGUAAAGCGCGCGUAGGCGGUCUGAUAAGCCGGUUGUGAAAGCCCCGGGCUCAACCUGGGAACGGCAUCCGGAACUGUCAGGCUAGAGUGCAGGAGAGGAAGGUAGAAUUCCCGGUGUAGCGGUGAAAUGCGUAGAGAUCGGGAGGAAUACCAGUGGCGAAGGCGGCCUUCUGGACUGACACUGACGCUGAGGUGCGAAAGCGUGGGUAGCAAACAGGAUUAGAUACCCGGGUAGUC
Molecule: ribosomal RNA, 464 nt
Filed under: Vreelandella stevensii
Lineage: Bacteria; Pseudomonadati; Pseudomonadota; Gammaproteobacteria; Oceanospirillales; Halomonadaceae
Description: partial 16S ribosomal RNA
Rfam family: Bacterial small subunit ribosomal RNA
Source: RNAcentral